CUCCUUGCAGCUCAGUGGUAGAGUACCGGUGCGAAAACCAGGAGCCCGGGUUCGAUUCCCGGCAAGGGAG
Molecule: transfer RNA, 70 nt
Filed under: Agrilus planipennis (emerald ash borer)
Lineage: Eukaryota; Metazoa; Arthropoda; Insecta; Coleoptera; Buprestidae
Rfam family: tRNA
About the family: Transfer RNA (tRNA) molecules are approximately 80 nucleotides in length. Their secondary structure includes four short double-helical elements and three loops (D, anti-codon, and T loops).
Source: Rfam by way of RNAcentral